GAUGAACGCUAGCGAUAGGCCUAACACAUGCAAGUCGAGGGGCAUCACAUGAAGUAGCAAUACGGAUGGUGGCGACCGGCGCACGGGUGAGUAACACGUAUGCAACCUGCCUUCAACAAGGGGAUAACCCGUUGAAAGACGGACUAAUACCCUAUAACACAGGGGUCCCGCAUGGGAAUAUUUGUUAAAGGACAACCGGUUGAAGAUGGGCAUGCGUUCCAUUAGCUAGUUGGCGGGGUAACGGCCCACCAAGGCAACGAUGGAUAGGGGAACUGAGAGGUUUAUCCCCCACACUGGUACUGAGACACGGACCAGACUCCUACGGGAGGCAGCAGUGAGGAAUAUUGGUCAAUGGACGCAAGUCUGAACCAGCCACGUCGCGUGAAGGAAGACGGCCCUACGGGUUGUAAACUUCUUUUGUAAGGGAAGAAAGGUUCUGGCUAAUACCCGGAACUGAUGACGGUACCUGAAGAAUAAGCACCGGCUAACUACGUG
RNAcentral lists this ribosomal RNA (495 nucleotides) under uncultured bacterium. RNAcentral describes it as "bacterial SSU rRNA". It matches the Rfam family "Bacterial small subunit ribosomal RNA", at positions 28 to 507 of the family's 1533-position model. The record is from RNAcentral.